GGAGACGCGAGGGAGAAUGGGGGCGGGGAGAGAUGGCGGAGGGAUGGCGGCGCAGGGGCGGAGGCGUUAACCCUUCGGCUGGGAGGAGAAGGAAGGCUCGCGGGGGCAGGUCUCCCUAGAGUCAUGUGAAGCUUGGCUGAUUUUCACUGAAGUAGCAGAAGAUUCCUGAAGCAUUCUGAGGGGAAUUUGUUGAAGACGAGAGGGGUUUUGAGUCCAAGAAGUGCUUGCACUGCAAAAGACAUUGCCCAUGAAGGAGGUGAAAAGAGAAGACUGGCUAAUUCAUGCACACAGGCAGGAGCAUAUAGCACUGUGAUGUCCGCCAUUACAGGAACCUGCAGCAAGACCAACUGGAGCGAGGCGGCUCUGAACAGUUCACACAGCACUUUGGAGCAAACCUUGGUGUCAAGGUUAACUCACAGAGUGAUGCUGGUAAAGAAAAGCCCAUCAGAAAGUAAGGGAAAAGCAGAAUUAAAAGACAGGGUGUCUUCUUGGCUGCUCUACAUCUCUUUAUAUUCUCCUGGAGUAAUGGUUGGGAGAAAAAGGGUGUGGCCACAGUAUCGUGGUGUCCCAGCUAUUCUGGGCUCUAAUACACUCAACGUGCAACCAGUGGUGAUAUUGCCAAGGGGAGAGUAGCAAGCACAAUCUGGGACAUGCAAAAGGGACUGAGUGAUCUCUCGCUAUGUCUUAUGGUCUCUACCUGUUACACUGGAAGUCCUGAGAAUGCCAGAACCCGUGUCACGAUCUGCUGAAAGAAGCAGCAGAAUUAGAGAGCCUAGAGUUAGAGCUCCUGGAAUUCAGAAUUGGAUACUGCUGCCAAAGAGCACACAAGAGAUUUUGCAGAAGAACAAUAUCACCUGAGUCUUACAUAGUGCUUUUCAUCAAGAAAUCUCUUGUCCGUGUCAUUACUGCUAGAUUUUGGUUGGUUUUGUUUGGUUGUUUAUUUUUCGCUUAGGAAACAGAUGUGCAGAAAGUGAGUGGUGUUGUCCAAGACUGCCCAAUAAACUGGUCGUAAAACAGAUAGGAAACCUGAUGCCUCCCACUGCCAAAUAGAAUUCACUUGUCACACACAAGGUUAUGAAACAUAAGGCUGCUGUCUUCCUCUCAGCCUUUCUGAGAUAAAGCAAAAAGCUCUCUCUGAGGAUACUGAGGUCUCUCCUGUGCCAGGAUAGCAGAUGCCUGCGCUGUGUGGGUCCCAUGUCCUAUGAGGAUCACUGUCCAGACAGCAUGUCUCACUCUGCAACUGAUCUGAAGUAUUUGUUCCUCACGUGGGAUGGCAAGUGGCGGGGAGAUAACUAGAUCGAUCUCCCUUUUAGGUCUUUUCCUGGGACUUGGUACGUAGGUUCCAGAUGGUACCAAGCCCCUGCUGCUUGGAUCUGCACAGAAAACUGCUUCUUCCUCAGCCUAUUUCACAACAUAUUUGGCUCUCUGUCGUUCGGUUGCUAUUUGUACAAAUUAAGCUGCACUGCCAGGAACGUUUGCAAACAGUGAAUAGGAAAGUGGGAUGCACAAGGCAAGUCAAAAUAGGUCUCAAAUCUGGCAAAAUGCCUGCAGGUGCUUAUAACAUUUGACUUACUGCAUCCCAUAUAUUACACACCCACACACUCAUUCAUCCAUCUUUCUCUUGCCCUCACGCCCACACACGCUCACCCUUCACAGGUUCAUUCACCUUCUCUUCUCCCUUCCCUGCUUUCGCUUCCAAACAGUUAUUCCCACACAUAAAUCCACCUCUGACACUCUUUGUUCCCAAUAUACAAACACACACCCAUUAAUGAAUGCUGGAGUGCAGUGUCUGUGGGUGGAAUAUAUACAUUCAUACAGCAGACUAUGCUGUAAUCUUACACCUAUGCUGUGAAAAAUCCUUUGGGAUUAGUGAGCUGAGAGCUCUGAUUACUUUCACUUUUAUGUAAAAUACCACUGAUCCAGUUUAUGGGGCUGGUGCUUUCUGUCUUCCUCUGCUAUCAUUCUUCAUGGACACCUCCCCUUUCUCCUCAUCUUCCUCUUCACUCUUUCUCCCUCUGCUUGGAACUUCCCACACUGCUCUCCAAGACCACAUGGGUUCAGAGAGCUUGCCUAUCCCCAUCCUUCUUUGUGACAUAAUGCUAGCCCUGAUUAUCUCACAGGGACAGUGAGCAGGGGUGAGCAAUGAGCCAGCCGUUCGGUGGUAGGACAUGGUGCAGGAAUUUGUGUGAGCUAUGGUGAGAUCAGAGGCAGAGUCGGUAAACGGUGGGGCAGACUGCCCUGCCAUCCGAGCAGCGCUGAGUCCUCCUGGCAUCGAGCCUGCCUCUAAUGGAAUGUGACCCACCGUUGGGAAUGAGCUCAUCUGUAAUCCACUUAAUUGAGUUUUAUGAGCAGGGCUCUCACAUCAGGGAGCCAGUCUGCCUUCCUCCAAGCACUUGCCCUCCUUUGGUUGCCGCUUGGGAAGGGAAAGGGGGUGGAGAUGUAGGCAGUGCUCCACUCAGCUAUCAUUUGCCUGCUUUCUGACUUUCUCUCUACUCUGGGGCUACAGGGAGCUGGACAUACAUGUUUUUCAGGAGGUCCGUUGCCUCAUGGUCUCACA
Long non-coding RNA from Gallus gallus (chicken), 2557 nucleotides. RefSeq lists it as uncharacterized. NCBI's taxonomy places the organism in Eukaryota, Metazoa, Chordata, Aves, Galliformes, Phasianidae. The record is from RefSeq and is a predicted model, not a curated record. The transcript is spliced from 3 exons.